GUACGAGUACGAGUACGAGUACGGGGAGUACAGUCCCGCUCUUUUGGACUGGGCCAACGUUGCGUAUGAGUGCUGCGCCGUGCUGUGCGUGGGUGGCAGCCAUUUGAGCGUGCAUUUCUAAUGUCCAGAGAGUGGCGGAGUGGCAGAAUGGCAGAGGAGGGAGUGCAGACCAUUGUUAGCUGGUCCUUUUUGGCCAGUCUGCAGUUAGCCCCAAGCACAGGCACUGGCACAGGGCAUGCAAAUUUUUGCACUCUGCCCUCGUCGGAAGUUGCUGAAUUUUGAUUUAUGCCAACGAAAUUUAUGCCACACACUGUCUCCACUGGUUUAAAGUUUCCCCCAAAAGCGAAAACAAAAUGGCUUUAACUUGGGCAGCAUCAGAGACAGAGUUUCAGGCAUCAACGUGAAUAAAUUUCAUUAUCUGACGGUUGCAUCUCGUACACAAAAUCAUCAACUUUUGCCUUGUCAGACAUUAUAAACGGUCUGCACACGCCUCAUUUAUUAUUUAUUGUAUUUCUGUUGUGUUCACUUGGGCUUGCGCUUGGAAUCGGGUACGGCUCUUCUUGUAAGCAAAUUUCCCCAAACAAAC
Molecule: long non-coding RNA, 586 nt
Filed under: Drosophila guanche
Lineage: Eukaryota; Metazoa; Arthropoda; Insecta; Diptera; Drosophilidae
Source: RNAcentral